GGGUAAGCCCUGUACGACCAGCUCCUGUUGAACUUCCCCAGGAUCGGAAGGUAGCAAGGAUAAAAUGGUUGAGCGGUGCGCUGCAGCAAGCUUACCCUUU
Molecule: signal recognition particle RNA, 100 nt
Filed under: Bacteroidota bacterium
Lineage: Bacteria; Pseudomonadati; Bacteroidota
Also listed under: 1 other name
Description: Bacteroidetes bacterium (groundwater metagenome) signal recognition particle sRNA small type
Rfam family: Bacteroidales small SRP
About the family: The non-coding component of the signal recognition particle in Bacteroides
Source: RNAcentral